Long non-coding RNA from Cyprinus carpio carpio, 749 nucleotides. NCBI's taxonomy places the organism in Eukaryota, Metazoa, Chordata, Actinopteri, Cypriniformes, Cyprinidae. The record is from Ensembl.
GUCAUUACUAAAAAUUAAACACUAAUUUAAUUCAUAGUUUUAUUUUUCUAUAGGUUAAGCACCUUUUCGUAAAUAUGGCUGUUUCCCAGUUUUAUUUAUUUUUUUGUUUUUUUAUUUUUUUUUUUUUUUUUUGUUUUUUUUUUAGGAUUUACAUUUAAAAAAAUGAGCCUACUUCAAACAUUUUAAGCAGCUUGAACAAAACCUGUUAAUAUUUAUUAUAGACCACUGUAACUGUCUAUUAUCUAAAAAAAACAAAUUUAUUAUGAAAAUAAAAGUGUGUACACCAGUUAAACUGGACGAUAAAGAAAUUGCUAACAAUAGUUUAAUAGAGCAUGUUUUAGGUUUAUAGGUGUUUAGAUGCAGAAAUUUAAUUUAAUUAAAUAUAGAUUAAUUCUUGUUAGAGCAAAAAAAAAAAAAAAUAAUAAUAAUAAUAAAUACAUGAAUACAUACAAAAAAAGCAGCCAAGACGAAUGAUUUUCUGUUUUUAUAGAUUAAAAUUAAAGACAGAAAGCAGCUGGUAAAUGCAGUCACUUUAAUAUUCAAAUCCAGUAUCAUGAUACACUUCAGAUUUAUUUCUCAACUGUUUAUGUUCACGUGACUGUUUUCGUUUAUAUUCGCCAAGCUAUUAUGUAUUUUGAAAUAACCUUGUUCUUGAUUUGUUCGUUCUUGCCAGAAUCAGCGUCCUCUGGAGCUCGAGAGAUCGAUGUUAUUCUGCCCUUAGACAGUCUCGCGCUGUCAAAUAGUCUUUC